This 453-nucleotide long non-coding RNA is filed under the name Rhinopithecus bieti (black snub-nosed monkey). RNAcentral's name for it is "lncRNA (ENSRBIG00000045744.1)". Lineage: Eukaryota; Metazoa; Chordata; Mammalia; Primates; Cercopithecidae. The record is from RNAcentral.
GUAUUUACCCUAUUCUGUUGUCAUAUUUUGCCUAUUUUCCUAAUUAGCUUUUCUACUGCAUGGACCAGCUUGUUCAUCUGUGUAACUGCCCUAGUGCCAUGAAAGCUACUUAAUGAAGACACACCAUUCAUACCUGUGGUUUGCUUCCCUGGCCACAUGUAACAAUCACCUGAGGAGCUCUUGAACCAGCCUAGAGCCUAAGUCCCACACAAACUAUCUUCGUGUCUGGUUAACUGACCAGAGUACAUUUAAGAAUGACUGGACUACUUUAUAAUUUUCCAAGGCCUAUUCAUCUGCUCCAUGUGCCUCACUUCCGUGGCCGAUGUGACUUGGCAUAUCUGUUACUUGAGACUGAGAUCUGUUUUCUUCUGAUUCCAAUGCCACACAUGGAGUCAUAACCUGUGGUAAACGGUCUGUAAUAAUUCCUAGAUUUCGUUUCUUGAAUAGCAACUG